RNAcentral lists this ribosomal RNA (392 nucleotides) under uncultured bacterium. RNAcentral's name for it is "bacterial SSU rRNA". It matches the Rfam family "Bacterial small subunit ribosomal RNA", at positions 28 to 421 of the family's 1533-position model. The record is from RNAcentral.
GACGAACGCUGGCGGCGUGCUUAACACAUGCAAGUCGAGCGGUAAGGCCCUUUCGGGGGUACACGAGCGGCGAACGGGUGAGUAACACGUGGGUGACCUGCCCUUAGCUCUGGGAUAAGCCUGGGAAACUGGGUCUAAUACCGGAUAUGACUCCAUGACGCAUGUUGUGGGGUGGAAAGCCUUGUGCGGCUGAGGAUGGGCCCGCGGCCUAUCAGCUUGUUGGUGGGGUGAUGGCCUACCAAGGCGACGACGGGUAGCCGGCCUGAGAGGGCGACCGGCCACACUGGGACUGAGAUACGGCCCAGACUCCUACGGGAGGCAGCAGUGGGGAAUCUUGCGCAAUGGGCGAAAGCCUGACGCAGCGACGCCGCGUGAGGGAUGACGGCCUGUGU